AUUGAACGCUGGCGGCAGGCCUAACACAUGCAAGUCGAGCGGUUGAGGUAGCUUGCUACCGAUGCAGCGGCGGACGGGUGAGUAAUACAUGGGAAUCUGCCUGGUAGUGGGGGACAACGUUUCGAAAGGAACGCUAAUACCGCAUACGCACUACGGGGGAAAGGGGGGGAUCUUCGGACCUCUCGCUAUCAGAUGAACCCAUGUCGGAGUAGCUUGUUGGUGAGGUAAAGGCUCACCAAGGCGACGAUCCGUAACUGGUCUGAGAGGAUGAUCAGUCACACUGGAACUGAGACACGGUCCAGACUCCUACGGGAGGCAGCAGUGGGGAAUAUUGACAAUGGGCGCAAGCCUGAUCCAGCCAUGCCGCGUGUGUGAAGAAGGCCUUAGGGUUGUAAAGCACUUUCAGUGGGGAGAAAGGUUAUUCACCUAAUACGUGAGUAAAUUGAUGUUACCCACAGAAGAAGCACCGGCUAACUCCGUGCCAGCAGCCGCCGCAG
This 497-nucleotide ribosomal RNA is filed under the name uncultured bacterium. RNAcentral's name for it is "partial 16S ribosomal RNA". It matches the Rfam family "Bacterial small subunit ribosomal RNA", at positions 30 to 523 of the family's 1533-position model. The record is from RNAcentral.